This 355-nucleotide ribosomal RNA is filed under the name Klebsiella pneumoniae. RNAcentral's name for it is "bacterial LSU rRNA". It matches the Rfam family "Bacterial large subunit ribosomal RNA", at positions 1528 to 1865 of the family's 2925-position model. The record is from RNAcentral. Lineage: Bacteria; Pseudomonadati; Pseudomonadota; Gammaproteobacteria; Enterobacterales; Enterobacteriaceae.
UUGUCCAGGCAAAUCCGGAUAAUCAAGGCUGAGGUGUGAUGACGAGGCACUACGGUGCUGAAGUAACAAAUGCCCUGCUUCCAGGAAAAGCCUCUAAGCAUCAGGUAACAUCAAAUCGUACCCCAAACCGACACAGGUGGUCAGGUAGAGAAUACCAAGGCGCUUGAGAGAACUCGGGUGAAGGAACUAGGCAAAAUGGUGCCGUAACUUCGGGAGAAGGCACGCUGGUGUGUAGGUGAAGUCCCUGCGGAUGGAGCUGAGACCAGUCGAAGAUACCAGCUGGCUGCAACUGUUUAUUAAAAACACAGCACUGUGCAAACACGAAAGUGGACGUAUACGGUGUGACGCCUGCCCG